Molecule: long non-coding RNA, 305 nt
Filed under: Manihot esculenta (cassava)
Lineage: Eukaryota; Viridiplantae; Streptophyta; Magnoliopsida; Malpighiales; Euphorbiaceae
Description: long non-coding RNA (MESC_LNC012890)
Source: RNAcentral
ACUGUUAAUGGUUUUAUGGCAAUUUGUACUAAUCCUAUAUGCAUAAAUCUAUAUCCUUGAUUAAUAUAUUUUAAUAUGGUCUUUUUACUUAAUAGACUCAUAGAUUGGUUUUCAGAAUAUAAAGGUACUACCUUUUCUUUUGUUUUAAUUGCUCUCGCUGAUUUAAAAUCUAAUAUACCUGUUUUAUAUAUUGUAUCUAUUGGUGUCUUUGGAGGUUUCCAAUUUGUUAAUUGUUGAUUAUUCCAAAUACUUUCUCUGGAUAAUAUUGUUUUGUUAUUAUCUGUAUUAAUAUUUAAAUCAUUUAU